RNAcentral lists this ribosomal RNA (367 nucleotides) under uncultured organism. RNAcentral describes it as "bacterial LSU rRNA". It matches the Rfam family "Bacterial large subunit ribosomal RNA", at positions 2099 to 2465 of the family's 2925-position model. The record is from RNAcentral.
CUCUACUGUAACUUGAAAUUGAAAUUGGACUUUAUUUGCGCAGUAUAGGUGGGAGGCGUUGAGAAGAAUCUUGCGGGAUUUUUGGAGCCAUCAGUGAGAUACCACUCUUGUAAUGUUAGAUUUCUAACUUUGGAUCAUUAUCUGGUCAAAGAACAGUUUCAGGCGGGCAGUUUGACUGGGGCGGUCGCCUCCCAAACGGUAACGGAGGCGCACAAAGGUUUCCUCUGAACGGGUAGAAAUCGUAUCUAGAGUGUAAAGGCAUAAGGAAGCUUGACUGUGAGACCUACAAGUCGAGCAGGGACGAAAGUCGGUCUUAGUGAUCUGACGGUGCUGAGUGGAAAGGCCGUCACUCAACGGAUAAAAGUUA